GAUGAACGCUGGCGGCGUGCCUAAUACAUGCAAGUCGAGCGAACAGACGAGGAGCUUGCUCCUCUGACGUUAGCGGCGGACGGGUGAGUAACACGUGGAUAACCUACCUAUAAGACUGGGAUAACUUCGGGAAACCGGAGCUAAUACCGGAUAAUAUAUUGAACCGCAUGGUUCAAUAGUGAAAGACGGUUUUGCUGUCACUUAUAGAUGGAUCCGCGCCGCAUUAGCUAGUUGGUAAGGUAACGGCUUACCAAGGCAACGAUGCGUAGCCGACCUGAGAGGGUGAUCGGCCACACUGGAAGUGAGACACGGUCCAGACUCCUACGGGAGGCAGCAGUAGGGAAUCUUCCGCAAUGGGCGAAAGCCUGACGGAGCAACGCCGCGUGAGUGAUGAAGGUCUUCGGAUCGUAAAACUCUGUUAUUAGGGAAGAAAAAAUGUGUAAGUAACUAUGCACGUAUUGACGGUACCUAAUCAGAAAGCCACGGCUAACUACGUG
Molecule: ribosomal RNA, 497 nt
Filed under: uncultured bacterium
Lineage: Bacteria
Description: partial 16S ribosomal RNA
Rfam family: Bacterial small subunit ribosomal RNA
Source: RNAcentral